AGCUCUAUAAUAAACUAAACUAUUACUGACCAGGAGCUCUAUAAGAAACUAAACUAUUACUGACCAGGAGCUCUAUAAGAAACUAAACUAUUACUGACCAGGAGCUCUAUAAGAAACUAAACUAUUACUGACCAGGAGCUCAAUAAGAAACUUCAGGCUCUCAAAUUUAAAAAAGCAUGCGAACCUGAUGGCAUCCUAAAUGAGAUGCUCAAACUCACUGGGUGCAGCAUCUCAAUUGGCUAUAUUAAAACUGUUUAAUUUGAUCCUGAGUGUAGGUUAUUUCCCUGACAUCUGGAACCAAGCACUUAUAUAACCCCAAUCUUUAAGAACGGAGACAAAAUUGACCCUAACAAUUACAGAGGCAUUUGUGUGAACAGUAACCCGGGGAAGGUUUUCUGUAGUAUUAUAAACGUGAGAGUUCUAAACUUCCUUAAUAAGCACAAUGUCUUGAGUAAAAGGCUAAUUGGAUUUAUACCAAAACAUCGCACAAGCGAUCAUAUUUACACCUUACACACCCUCCCUGAUAGAUAAACAUGUCCACCAAAAUAAUACCAAAAUAUACACUUGCUUUAUCGACAUCCAAAAAGCAUUUGAUUCUAUUUGGCAUACAGGACUGUUCUACAAAGUUAUUGAAAGUGGGGGUAAAACAUAUGUCAUAAUUAAAUCAAUGUAUACUGGAAAUACGUGCAGCAUUAAAAUUGGCAAGAAAAUAACAGAAUUCCUUAACCAGGGGCAGGGCCUUCGCCAGGGUUGCAAUCUGAGUCCUGCGCUCUUCAAUAUUUACAUUAACGAAUUGACCCCUAUUCCAGAACAAUCCUCAGCCCCUGGUGUUAGUCUCCACAAUUCAGAGUUUAAAUGUCUGCUCUUCGCAGAUGACCUAUGCUUGCUGUCACCCACAGCACAUGGCCUACAGCAGAGCCUGCACCUGCUAGAGCAGUAAUGCCAGACCUGGGCCCUGGCAGUAAAACCCAAAGAUACUAAAAUACUGGUUUUCCAGAGAAGAUCCAGAUCUCAGGGAAUUAGACCAAAGUUCUCAAUUGGUACAAAAUAUAUAGAGUACUGCACACACUACAAUUACUGAGGUUUAAAUAUAUAGAGUAGUGUACAUACUACAAUUACUGAGGUUUAAAUAUAUAGAGUACUGCACACACUACAAUUACUGAGGUUUAAAUAUAUAGAGUACUGCACACUACAAUUACUGAGGUUUAAAUAUAUAGAGUACUAUACACACUACAAUUACUGAGGUUUAAAUAUAUAGAGUACUGUACACACUACAAUUACUGAGGUUUAAAUAUAUAGAGUACUGUACACACUACAAUUACUGAGGUUUAAAUAUAUAGAGUACUGUACACACUACAAUUACUGAGGUUUAAAUAUAUAGAGUACUAUACACACUACAAUUACUGAGGUUUAAAUAUAUAGAGUACUGUACACACUACAAUUACUGAGGUUUAAAAAUAACCUCAACUGGACACCUUAAUGAGGCAGUGAAUGAACUGAGAGAGAAAGCAGGGCAUUCUACGCCAAUAACAACAAAUUAAUAUUGAAAUACCGAUUUAAAUUUGGCUAAAACUAAUUGAAUAUGUCAUUGAACCAAUUGCACUUUAUGGCAGUGAGGUGUGGGGUCCACUUUAUGGCAGUGAGGUGUGGGGUCCACUUCAUGGCAGCGAGGUGUGAGGUCCACUUUAUGGCAGUGAGGUGUGGGGUCCACUUUAUGGCAGCGAGGUGUGAGGUCCACUUUAUGGCAGUGAGGUGUGGGGUCCACUUUAUGGCAGCGAGGUGUGAGGUCCACUUUAUGGCAGUGAGGUGUGGGGUCCACUUUAUGGCAGCGAGGUGUGAGGUCCACUUUAUGGCAGUGAGGUGUGGGGUCCACUUUAUGGCAGCGAGGUGUGAGGUCCACUUUAUGGCAGUGAGGUGUGGGGUCCACUUUAUGGCAGCGAGGUGUGGGGUCCACUUUAUGGCAGCGAGGUGUGGAGUCCACUUUAUGGCAGCGAGGUGUGGGGUCCACUUUAUGGCAGCGAGGUGUGGGGUCCACUUUAUGGCAGCGAGGUGUGGGGUCCACUUUAUGGCAGUGAGGUGUGGGGUCCACUUUAUGGCAGCGAGGUGUGGGGUCCACUUUAUGGCAGUGAGGUGUGAGGUCCACUUUAUGGCAGCGAGGUGUGAGGUCCACUUUAUGGCAGCGAGGUGUGAGGUCCACUUUAUGGCAGCGAGGUGUGGGGUCCACUUUAUGGCAGCGAGGUGUGAGGUCCACUUUAUGGCAGCGAGGUGUGG
This is a long non-coding RNA of Oncorhynchus keta (chum salmon), 2271 nucleotides long. RefSeq lists it as uncharacterized. Lineage: Eukaryota; Metazoa; Chordata; Actinopteri; Salmoniformes; Salmonidae. The transcript has 4 exons. The record is from RefSeq and is a predicted model, not a curated record.